RNAcentral lists this transfer RNA (69 nucleotides) under Ovis aries (sheep). It matches the Rfam family "tRNA". From Rfam's summary of the family: Transfer RNA (tRNA) molecules are approximately 80 nucleotides in length. Their secondary structure includes four short double-helical elements and three loops (D, anti-codon, and T loops). The record is from Rfam by way of RNAcentral. Lineage: Eukaryota; Metazoa; Chordata; Mammalia; Artiodactyla; Bovidae.
CCUGGUAGCUCAGAUGGUAAAGCGUCUGCCUGCAAUGCGGGAGACCCGGGUUCAACCCCUGGGACAGGA